Molecule: unclassified non-coding RNA, 244 nt
Filed under: uncultured fungus
Lineage: Eukaryota; Fungi
Description: partial contains 5.8S ribosomal RNA, internal transcribed spacer 2, and large subunit ribosomal RNA
Rfam family: 5.8S ribosomal RNA (bases 1-52)
Source: RNAcentral
AACGCACAUUGCGCCCCUCGGUAUUCCGGGGGGCAUGCCUGUUCGAGCGUCAUUGCACCCCUCAAGCGUAGCUUGGUUUUGGGCCCUCGCCGCUCCGGCGGGCCCGAAAGUUAGUGGCGGUCCCGUGUGACUUCGAGCGUAGUAAACAAAUCUCCCGCUUUGGAAGCUCAUGCGGCGGCCGGCCAGAACGCCCAACUUUUCAAUGAUUGACCUCGGAUCAGGUAGGGAUACCCGCUGAACUUAA